Molecule: transfer RNA, 64 nt
Filed under: Dimorphostylis asiatica
Lineage: Eukaryota; Metazoa; Arthropoda; Malacostraca; Cumacea; Diastylidae
Description: tRNA-Leu
Source: RNAcentral
UCUAAAAUGACAGAUUAUUGUAUAAACCUUAGAAGUUUAAUAUGAGUUACAAACUCUUUUAGAA